This 324-nucleotide ribosomal RNA is filed under the name uncultured eukaryote. RNAcentral describes it as "partial 18S ribosomal RNA". It matches the Rfam family "Eukaryotic small subunit ribosomal RNA", at positions 1470 to 1796 of the family's 1831-position model. The record is from RNAcentral.
CCCUUAGAUGUUCUGGGCCGCACGCGCGCUACACUGAUGAACGCAACGAGACCACCUGUACCGAAAGGCAUGGGUAAACUUGUGAAAGUUCAUCGUGAUGGGGAUAGAUUAUUGCAAUUAUUAAUCUUCAACGAGGAAUUCCUAGUAAGCGCGAGUCAUCAGCUCGCGUUGAUUACGUCCCUGCCCUUUGUACACACCGCCCGUCGCUCCUACCGAUUGAAUGGUCCGGUGAAUAAUUCGGACUGCAGCAGUGCUUGGUCCUCCGGGCUUUGCAGCGGAAAGUUUAGUGAACCUUAUCACUUAGAGGAAGGAGAAGUCGUAACA